Molecule: ribosomal RNA, 497 nt
Filed under: uncultured bacterium
Lineage: Bacteria
Description: partial 16S ribosomal RNA
Rfam family: Bacterial small subunit ribosomal RNA
Source: RNAcentral
GAUGAACGCUGGCGGCGUGCCUAAUACAUGCAAGUCGAGCGAACGGACGAGAAGCUUGCUUUUCUGAUGUUAGCGGCGGACGGGUGAGUAACACGUGGAUAACCUACCUAUAAGACUGGGAUAACUUCGGGAAACCGGAGCUAAUACCGGAUAAUAUUUUGAACCGCAUGGUUCAAAAGUGAAAGACGGUCUUGCUGUCACUUAUAGAUGGAUCCGCGCUGCAUUAGCUAGUUGGUAAGGUAACGGCUUACCAAGGCAACGAUGCAUAGCCGACCCGAGAGGGUGAUCGGCCACACUGGAACUGAGACACGGUCCAGACUCCUACGGGAGGCAGCAGUAGGGAAUCUUCCGCAAUGGGCGAAAGCCUGACGGAGCAACGCCGCGUGAGUGAAGAAGGUCUUCGGAUCGUAAAACUCUGUUAUUAGGGAAGAACAUAUGUGUAAGUAACUGUGCACAUCUUGACGGUACCUAAUCAGAAAGCCACGGCUAACUACGUG